CAUCUACUCCCUCAGUCCACAAAUAUUUGUCAUCAAAAUAAAUAAAAAGAAUGUAUCUAGACGUAUUUUGGUUUUAGAUACAUUUUUUUUAUCUAUUUUGAUGACAAUUAUUUUCGAACGGGGAGAGUAUUAU
This is a non-coding RNA of Triticum aestivum (bread wheat), 133 nucleotides long. The record is from Rfam. NCBI's taxonomy places the organism in Eukaryota, Viridiplantae, Streptophyta, Magnoliopsida, Poales, Poaceae.